This 89-nucleotide unclassified non-coding RNA is filed under the name Pseudomonas frederiksbergensis. The record is from RNAcentral. Lineage: Bacteria; Pseudomonadati; Pseudomonadota; Gammaproteobacteria; Pseudomonadales; Pseudomonadaceae.
UGUGGGAGCGAGCCUGCUCGCGAUAGCGUUCUGUCAGUCACAACCAUGUUGACUGAUACGCCUCUAUCGCGAGCAGGCUCGCUCCCACA